UGCAAGUCGAACGAUACUACCGGGCUUGCCCGGUAGGAAAGUGGCGCACGGGUGCGUAACGCGUAUGCAACCUACCUUAAUCAGGGGGAUAGCCCGAAGAAAUUCGGAUUAACACCGCAUAAAAUCACAGUACAGCAUUGUACAAUGAUCAAAUAUUUAUAGGAUUAAGAUGGGCAUGCGUGUCAUUAGUUAGUUGGCGAGGUAACGGCUCACCAAGACCACGAUGACUAGGGGAUCUGAGAGGAUGACCCCCCACACUGGUACUGAGACACGGACCAGACUCCUACGGGAGGCAGCAGUAAGGAAUAUUGGUCAAUGGAGGCAACUCUGAACCAGCCAUGCCGCGUGCAGGAAGACAGCCCUCUGGGUCGUAAACUGCUUUUAUUCGGGAAUAAACCUACUUACGUGUAAGUAGCUGAAUGUACCGAAGGAAUAAGGAUCGGCUAACUCCGUGCCAGCAGCCGCGGUAAUACGGAGGAUCCAAGCGUUAUCCGGAUUUAUUGGGUUUAAAGGGUGCGUAGGCGGCUUAUUAAGUCAGGGGUGAAAGACGGUGGCUCAACCAUCGCAGUGCCCUUGAUACUGAUGAGCUUGAAUACACUAGAGGUAGGCGGAAUGUGACAAGUAGCGGUGAAAUGCAUAGAUAUGUCACAGAACACCGAUUGCGAAGGCAGCUUACUAUGGUGUCAUUGACGCUGAGGCACGAAAGCGUGGGGAUCAAACAGGAUUAGAUACCCUGGUAGUCCACGCCCUAAACGAUGAAUACUCGCUGUUAGCGAUACACAGUUAGCGGCUAAGCGAAA
RNAcentral lists this ribosomal RNA (800 nucleotides) under Pedobacter caeni. Its description in RNAcentral is "bacterial SSU rRNA". It matches the Rfam family "Bacterial small subunit ribosomal RNA", at positions 56 to 856 of the family's 1533-position model. Lineage: Bacteria; Pseudomonadati; Bacteroidota; Sphingobacteriia; Sphingobacteriales; Sphingobacteriaceae. The record is from RNAcentral.